GCCAACCACAGCCCUAAUAAAUAUCAAAUAAACUAUUAAUUAACCAAACUUAAACCAUUUCAACCAUCUAAGUAUAGGUGAUAGAACAGUAUCUUUAGGCGCAAUAAUAAAAGUACCGCAAGGGAAAAUGAAAGACUAAUUAAUAGCACACAUAAGCAAAGAUAAAUACUUGUACCUUUUGCAUAAUGAUUUAGCUAGCAACCACGGACAAAAGAACUAUGCCCGACCCCCGAAAUCAAGUGAGCUACUUUAAAACAGUUAAUUUGAACCAACUCAUCUAUGUAGCAAAAUAGUGAGAAGAUUUUAUAGUAGAAGUGAAAGACCUAUCGAACUUGAUGAUAGCUGGUUAUCCAAAACAUGAAUUUUAGUUCAAUAUUAAGUUUAUUUAUGCAACCAACAAGCUAAUCUUAAACUUAAAGUUAAUCAAAUGAGGGACAGCUCAUUUGAUCUAGUAUACAAACUCUAUAUGAGGGUAAUGUUAAAUUAAUAACCAUUGUAGGCCUAAAAGCAGCCACCAAUUAAGAUAGCGUUAAAGCUCAAACAUUCACUUUAACUUAAUUCCAUAAUAAUAUCAAAACCCCUUAUAUCAAAUUGGAUGAUUCUAUUUUAUAUAGAAGACAUAAUGCUAAAAUUAGUAAUAAGAAUAUUAUUCUCCUCGCAUAAGCCCAUAUUAGUAAACGGAUUACCCACUAACCCCUAACAAAAUAUUUAAUAAAAUUACAAACAAGACCAUUAUCAAAAUUAUUGUUAACCCAACACAGGCAUGCGCUAUUACAAGGAUAGAUAAAAGAAUAAAGGAACUCGGCAAACUAAACCCCGCCUGUUUACCAAAAACAUCACCUCUAGCAUAAAAAUAAUUAGAGGCACUGCCUGCCCAGUGAAUUAACUUAAACGGCCGCGGUAUCCUGACCGUGCAAAGGUAGCAUAAUCACUUGUCUCCUAAAUAGAGACUUGUAUGAAAGGCAAGACGAGGGUUUAACUGUCUCUUUUUCUUAAUCAAUGAAAUUGACCUGCCCGUGCAGAGGCGAGCAUAUUUAUAUAAGACGAGAAGACCCUGUGGAGCUUAAGAUACAGCUUAAUUAUAAAAUAACUAAACAUCCUACAAUGGACAUAAUCAACACAUACUAUUAAGCUAAACCUUUGGUUGGGUGACCUCGGAGCACAAAACAACCUCCGAAUGAAAUAACCAAGAUAUACAAAUCUAAGUGCAACACGCCAGUAAUUGACCCAAAUAUUGAUCAACGGAACAAGUUACCCCAGGGAUAACAGCGCAAUCCUAUUUAAGAGCCCUUAUCGACAAUAGGGUUUACGACCUCGAUGUUGGAUCAGGACACCCAAAUGGUGUAGCCGCUAUUAAAGGUUCGUUUGUUCAACGAUUAAAGUCCUACGUGAUCUGAGUUCAGACCGGAGAAAUCCAGGUCGGUUUCUAUCUAUAAAUAAAAUUCUCCCAGUACGAAAGGACAAGAGAAUUAAGGCCAACAUUAAAAACGAGCCUUACUACUAAUUAGUGAAAUUAAUCUUAACUAAUUAUAAAUUUUACAACUACAACUCUAGAAAAGAGUAU
This 1564-nucleotide ribosomal RNA is filed under the name Marmosa murina (murine mouse opossum). RNAcentral's name for it is "16S ribosomal RNA". It matches the Rfam family "Bacterial large subunit ribosomal RNA", at positions 396 to 2925 of the family's 2925-position model. The record is from RNAcentral. Lineage: Eukaryota; Metazoa; Chordata; Mammalia; Didelphimorphia; Didelphidae.